Molecule: long non-coding RNA, 3952 nt
Filed under: Sus scrofa (pig)
Lineage: Eukaryota; Metazoa; Chordata; Mammalia; Artiodactyla; Suidae
Description: lncRNA (ENSSSCG00000060655.1)
Source: RNAcentral
UAGGGCCACCCUGCAGCAUAUGGAGGUUACCAGGCUAGGGGUCCAAUCAGAGCUAUAGCCGCCAACCUACACCAGAGCUACAGCAACACGGGAUCCGAGCUGCGUCUGCCACCUGCACCACAGCUCACGGCAACGCAGAUCCUUAACCCACUGAGCAAGGCCAGGGAUCGAACCCACAACCUCAUGGUUCCUAGUAAGAUUCGUUAACCAUUGAGCCACGACGGGAACUCCUCUUGGUAUUCUAAUUCUUUUACUUUAUUUAUGUUUAGGCUGAGCCCGUGGCAUGUGGAAAUUUCUGGGCCAGAGAUCAAACCCACAUCAUAGCAAUGACCUGAGCUACAGCAGUCACAAUGCUGGAUCUUUAACCCACUGAGCCUCUAGGGAACUCUGUAAUAUUUUUACUUUAAAAAGUAAAUUAUAUUUUCUACCAAUUGGGAAAAUUAUGUUUACUCACAUAUUUACCCCCCCCCUUUUUUUUUGCUAUUUCUUGGGCUGCUCCUGUGGCAUAUGGAGGUUCCUGGGCUAGGGGUCUAAUCGGAGCUGUAGCCACCGGCCUACACCAUAGCCACAGCAAUGCAGAAUCCGAGCCGCGUCUGCAACCUACACCACAGCUCACGGCAACGCUGGAUCAUUAACCCACUAAGCAAGGGCAGGGGCCAAACCCGCAACCUCAUGGUUCCUAGUCGGAUUCAUUAACCACUGCGCCACAACGGGAACUCCCUACCCCUUUUAAUAGUCUUCAGUCUUUCCUGUUUGUCUGAGUUUCCAAUUUAAAUUAUUUUACAUUAGCCUGGAACACACAUAAUUGUGGAAUACUUGGUUGGAAAUCUAAUAAGACGUGGCAGGACAUGUCUAUCUCAAGGUUCAUUUAAUGACAUUUGCCAAAAAUGGAUCAAAUAAGUAAAUAAAAUCACUGGCAAACCAUUUUGUAGUUUGUAAAAUACUAUCCUAAAUAUUUGAUAUUUGUGUGUUAUUUCAAUUUUGUGGGUGAUUAAGCUGAGGUAAAAAAGAAAAGUGAUAUGACCUCAAAUUGGAACUAAAAUAUUUUGAUUACAUGUAACGUGUUCUUUUAACUGCCGUGCCCAGUCUCUAGGUCUCUGCCACAUAUGAACUUCCUCCAUCACUGUGAUUCCCUAGUAUUUACUUCUCACUUGAGCAGUUUUCCAAUUGUUUCGCCUCACAAUUUGUCUCUAGCUCCUGUUGGGGUUCCUGGGUACCAAAGAGUUAAUGUAUGAGGUCAAACCCUUUCUAUUUAAGUGUCCUGGGAAAUCCCAGAAGUAGGCUGUUGUUCUAUUCCUCCCAAGGGGCUACACCCCUGGGGGAAAGAGAAGUAGGUUCAUCUGGAUAAAGUAGAGGUUAGCGUGAGAGGUCUUGCUCUUGUCUCUCAGGGACAUACUGAGCAUCCAGUCUUGGUAAGUGCCAGUAGCUAAAAAUCCCUAUGGAAACCCAAAGCUGGGGCUUUGUUAAACAGUUCAUAUAUGAAGAAAUGGCUAAGAGGAGGCAGAGGAAGUGGCUCGUGUGUGUGUGUGUGUGUGUGUGUGUGUGUGUGUGUGUGUGUGUUAAGGUCCCAUAUACUUUUUUUUUUGCUCUAUUUUUUAGGGCUGCACCUACAGCAUAUGGAGGUUCCCAGGCUAGGGGUCCAAUUGGAGCUGUAGCUGCCGGCCUGCACCAGAGCCACAGCAAUGUGGGAUCCAAGCCGCGUCUGUGACCUACACCACAGCUCACGGCAACGCCAGAUCCUUAACCCACUGAGUGAGGCCAGGGAUCAAACUUGCGUCCUCAUGGAUACUAGUCUGAUUCAUUAACCUCUGCGCCACGACAGGAACACCAUGGGUCCCAUAUACUUUAUAAUAUGACAAAUUCUCUUCAUUCAGUCCAGAGCUUGAUGUGUAGAAAAAAUGGUUCAGAAAUUUUUACUGAAAUAAUUACUAAUCGCUGGUAAUUGCUGAUACUGCAUUUAUUAUGUGAAGACUAAUUCAUCCUCUCCAAAAUAACUAGGUGAGAUAAAUCCUGUUGUUUAUGGUGUUUAACAGAAAAGUAAUUAUCUGCUUGAAAGCCUGAGCAGCUGUUCCAAAUUCAUACAGAUGGCAAGUUGCCAAGCUGAGUUUUAUACCCAGAUGUUUCUGCCUCAGACUUGAGGGAUGAUUUCUUACAUUAAAAAAAGGAAAUUCUAUGAAAUCAAGGCAAUGUUCCAUCUGCUGACUAUCCUCCUUGAAAUACUCUCUUCUCUGGGCAUCUGCUGUAUCCCGUUCUCCUAGUUCUUCCCCCGAUCUCUGGAUAUUCUGGUGCAAGAAGUUCUCCACAAUCUUGCUGUUGUCCUCGGGGUUCUAGCUGAGGUCUAAAUUCAUAGUUUUUACAUCUUUUUCUAGAUGAUCUCAUCCACUCCCCUGACCUCAGAUACCAACUAUCAUGUCAGUGCUUCUGAACUGUUUCUUCUCAAGUUCAGACUGCGUGUCCAAAAGCACGCUCUGUGUAAGAAUGAGUGCACUGCUGAAAAUGUGUGAGUGGAUUAAGUAUAAACAUCCUCUGCUUACUAUUCCAGGAGAAAGGGAGAAGGCACUACAAACAGUUCCACAUCUCACAUAUUUUUUUCAUGUACACUCAGUCUUUGCACAUUUGCUGAGAAUGUUUUAUGUUCCAGAAACUAUGUUAAUGGUGGAUAUAUGAAGAGAAAUAAAAUCCCAUCUAUACCUUUCAAUAUUUAGCAGUCAGUGUAUGUAGUGGUAGGGAUGGGGUUGGGUUGGGCAGUUAUACACGAAACCAGUACAUUAUAAAACAGUGUAGAAAUUACAAUAAACAACACAAAACAGGAGUAUUUCCUGAAGGAACAAAGUCAAUAAAUGCCCACAAACGAAGGGGAAAAGAAAAGGAAAGAAGGAUUAAUUUGGGGGGGGGGGGAUGAGAACUUAUUCCUGGGGAGGAAGGACCAGAAUAAAAUUUGAUAAAUAGACACAGUUUGACAGAUUACAUACAGAAUGAGUUUCAGGGCAUUUGAAAAAUCUACUACCAUCUCCAAAACAUACUUUCUUAGGGCCUAGCAUUAGGCUUGCUCCCAUGGUGGGAGAUUAAUAGGGGACGUCAAACUGCUUAGGGCCUCCCAGUCUGGCAAAUGAGGCUCCUUUACAAGCUGAUACAACAGAACUGCAUGGAAAGUACCCAGAAAAUGUCAAAUAUAUUGGUCCAGGGCUGCUUGCUAUUUAUUGUGGGUUUUUUUUUAUCUUCUGAAAAAUCAAAAAGUAAAAUAUCAAUUCACAACCACGCUUCAAUUUAGAGAAGCCCAAUAAUUUCCAAUGUCCACUAUACUGGCCAUUAAAGAUUGAUGAUUUUUCUUUAUUGCAUUUUGAACUUUAAAACAAAUUCUCGAAUGAAGUUGUCUAAUGUGAACGCUAGCCUUCCCCUGAGUCUCCCUUCCUUUUUGAGUCUUUUUCAAUUUUGCAAUUGAAAUGAUUAAUUUAAUAAUUUUCAUUUAUGUCUGCAUGCCUUCAUCACGAUUACUAAAUAUACAUGGGAUUUGUGAUGGUUAUCUUAGACAUGCAUAUUUCUCAGGUCAUUUAUACCAGUUAUACAACCUUGGGUUAUCUUCAAGCUCAAUAACUUCAUAAUACAUUGCUCGAUUGUAUAUAUUACCUCUGAAACCAUAAUUGGUGAACUCUUUAGUAGAGACCCUAACAAUAAACAGAUCAGGGUGUACUUUAAUAUGUAGCUGAAUUUAAAUUUUUUACAUUGAGUAAUUUGGAUUUUUGUCAUUUAGAAGUUCUUUGACUAAUUCAGUCUUGGAGAUAAAAUAUAAGAUACUUGAUCAGAAGAGCUAAGAUGAGCAUCCACAUGAUACAGCCCUAUGGCUUCAACACUUUCCCUUGAAAUAAUAAAAUAAUAACCUAAAGUGUGGCUCACAGCUGCUUGAACUAGGAACUAUUGUAUUUCACGUAGGAGUACAAACAUGAAGACAAUG